CACGUAGGCGGCUUUUUAAGUCAGGGGUGAAAUCCUGGAGCUCAACUCCAGAACUGCCUUUGAUACUGAGAAGCUCGAGUCCGGGAGAGGUGAGUGGAACUGCGAGUGUAGAGGUGAAAUUCGUAGAUAUUCGCAAGAACACCAGUGGCGAAGGCGGCUCACUGGCCCGGUACUGACGCUGAGGUGCGAAAGCGUGGGGAGCAAACAGGAUUAGAUACCUUGGUAGUCCACGCUGUAAACGAUGGAUGCUAGCCGUUGUCGGGUUUACUCGUCAGUGGCGCAGCUAACGCAUUAAGCAUCCCGCCUGGGGAGUACGGUCGCAAGAUUAAA
RNAcentral lists this ribosomal RNA (330 nucleotides) under uncultured bacterium. RNAcentral describes it as "bacterial SSU rRNA". It matches the Rfam family "Bacterial small subunit ribosomal RNA", at positions 568 to 898 of the family's 1533-position model. The record is from RNAcentral.